This is an unclassified non-coding RNA of Orbicella faveolata, 2706 nucleotides long. NCBI's taxonomy places the organism in Eukaryota, Metazoa, Cnidaria, Anthozoa, Scleractinia, Merulinidae. The record is from RefSeq and is a predicted model, not a curated record.
CGACGGUUGCGAUAAUGAGAGUAUUGCUUCUUGGGAGACUGAAGAAAUUGGCAGCUCCAGCUCUUUGGCGCGCAAAGCACGACUAUUUUCCGCGAACACUCAAACUACACAAUGGCGAGAAGUGCAAGCAACUGUUUUCCCCCAAAGAAAUGGAUCGGCGACUGUCCAGCAUCUGUCAUCACAUGGAGAAGGACGGCAUUGACGCAUGCGUGUUUACUUCAUAUUACAACCUUUACUAUUUCAGUGAUUUCCUGUACUGCUCGAUGGGACGUCAAUACGCUAUAAUUGUUACUGAUGAGAAGGCUGUUACCAUCACUCCAUCUGUUGACUAUGGGUAUCCAUGGAGACGUACAACUUGUGACAACAUCAGCUACACCAACUGGCACAAGGACAAUUUUUAUCACGCUAUUCAACAACAGUUACAAUCUGCAAAGACAGUGGGUUUCGAAUUCCCGGAUAUGGGAGCGUCCUUCAAAAGUUUCUCCGAGGCUUUACCGCAGGCCAAGUUUGUGGACAUUGCGGACGCGGCUAUGCAGAUACGUCGAGUUAAGUCCCCAGAAGAAAUUGAAGUUGUACGCCAGGGCUCCCGAAUAGCGGAGCUCGGGGCGUAUGCCGCGAUAAAGGCCCUUCAUGAGGGUGUUCCAGAAUACGAAGUAACUCUUGCCUCAACAAGCACCAUGGUACGAGAAAUAGCGGCAACCUACCCACACAUUGACAUUAGAGACAGUGAGUUUUGAAUCUUCCUUGAGUUCAAAAUGAGUAUUUAUUUUUUUGUGUGACAUGCGAUGGCCUAGUGUUUAGCAUGUUGGACUGCCGAUUGCGUGGUGUGGAUUGGAGCCCUGCCGGCCUACUUGCGUUUUGCACUCCAGCAACAAUGAAACCAUCCAGUACUUCUCUCAACACGAGAUCGGAGCAACUGAUAAAAUACUGGGAGGGGAGAGAUGAAAGGUCUGCGAUGACUAUGAGACGUGCAGGUAGAGUAAUGUAGUAAUACCCCUGAUCAAGUCAUGCUACACAAAUCUUUGUUCAAGCACUGGCGCAAAUGAGCCAUCACACGUUUCUACAAUCCAUAGAUUCUAUUACACCAGACCUAAGCAUGUCUACCGAAACCUACCAUCGUGGACAAAAGUCUUGGGACAAAUUUGCGCUUUUGGGGCUUUUGCGUUCACGCCAGAAGCGAAUACAACUUCACCUGCCUAACCUUCCCCCUACCCCAUAUACAAUGUUGAAAACUAGUUCCUGUGAAUUCUUCUGAGUUUCGACAUUGUAUUGGGUGGGGAGGGGGCAACAGCAACGCGUUUUAAGGAUAGCAGCGCUUUUUUAACCUUCAGUCGUAAAACACAUACUGUCAGUGCAUUACAUCAGUAUCCCAAGGACGUUUGUCCAUGAUUGUAGCUAAAAACAUGACUCCUCCUCCUGGGUGUUGGAAACGUACCGUGUGCUUAUUGCUGUUAUCUACCUGUCUCAGGGAUAAAAAAUUGUAACGUUUUUUUUUUUUUUCUAUUUUCAGCCUGGUCUUGGUUACAGUCAGGAAUCAAUACAGACGGAGCACAUAACUUUCCUACAACAAUUACUCAGCUUUAGAGCGCACCCUCUUCUACGAUCACGUGCCUUCAGACCGCCACAUGGAACUGUGGGAAGUCAACAACAAGGUCCAUCGCCGGGGAUUGGAAAUAGUUAAGCCAGGCAAGCGCUGCAGUGAUGUCGCACGGGACCUCAACGAAAUUUACAUGGAACACAACAUUCUGCAGUACCGUGUCAUCGGGUAUGGCCACUCUACAGGCAUUCUUUCUCACUACUAUGGGAGAGACUGGGGUCUAGAGUUUCUUGAGCACGUGGAUACCGUAUUGGAACCCGGAAUGGUGAUUACUAUGGAGCCUAUGAUUGUGGUUCCCGAGGGACAACCCGGGGCUGGCGGGUACAGGGAGCAUGACACGUUGAUUAUUACGGAGACUGGGGUCGAGAAUACAACCGCUUCGUUUCCCAUCGGCCCUGAACAAAACAUUGUAAAGAAUUAACGACCACUAAGACUAGAAUCUAACGCUGAGCUGUAAUCUCUGUUAUGGUUCUGGCGUUUCCCUUCUGGUGAUUUCCCUUAUGUGGUUACACAUGGAAACUUGAUUCGUUUGCGUUCGCAAGAAUGCUAGUCAGUCCAUAUAUUACACCAUGCGAGUAAGCUUGGCCAAACCAUCACACUGAUGUUUGUUUACGCAUGGUUAUGUAUGUUGUAGUUGCUUUGGUGGAAGAGAUGGAAAUAUAUAUUCCGCGUAAAAAUUAAGUUAAAUUACGAUAGCUUGAAGAACAACAAGAAAUUUGUCAAGUAUUAAUCAGUCUGACGUUUCAUUUCUAAUUUGUUGGGUCCAUGAAAUAUUUUAAAAUUCUUUUAAAUGAUUUUUUUACACACAUAUACCAAGUAUAAAUAAAGUUAUCAUAUUGUAUCGUAGAUUUCUAUGGUACUAGUUUAUGAGGGCAAAGGCGGAAUCAACUGUCACCUCACUGAAAUCGGAGGAGAUGAUCUGAUGGUAUUUUAGCAGUAUUCUAGAUUUCUUUCAGAUAACGAUUUCCAAUUAUUUCUCUACAUAUAUUAUGUAGUAUUUAACUUAAGGUUCGCACUCUUUUGAACUUUUAAAAUUCUGACUUUUCGUGACCUUUCCGAGUUUUCCAUGACCUUCAUCAAGUAGUUGUUUUCAAAGUAUUUUCAAAACA